RNAcentral lists this transfer RNA (74 nucleotides) under Naesiotus nux. RNAcentral describes it as "tRNA-Cys". The record is from RNAcentral. Lineage: Eukaryota; Metazoa; Mollusca; Gastropoda; Stylommatophora; Orthalicidae.
UUAAACAUAAUAUAAAUUAACUAAAAUUAUAAUAAGUUGCAAACUUAAAAAUGGAAAUUAUUUUCCUGUUUAAU